Molecule: ribosomal RNA, 253 nt
Filed under: uncultured bacterium
Lineage: Bacteria
Description: partial 16S ribosomal RNA
Rfam family: Bacterial small subunit ribosomal RNA
Source: RNAcentral
UACAGAGGGUGCGAGCGUUGUCCGGAAUCACUGGGCGUAAAGGGCGCGUAGGCGGCUCGGUAAGGUUGCGGUGAAAGCCCGGGGCUCAACCCCGGGUCGGCCGUGGCAACUGCUGAGCUAGAGCACUGUAGAGGCAGGUGGAAUUCCGGGUGUAGCGGUGGAAUGCGUAGAGAUCCGGAAGAACACCGGUGGCGAAGGCGGCCUGCUGGGCAGUGGCUGACGCUGAUGCGCGAAGGCGUGGGGAGCGAACGGG